Molecule: transfer RNA, 75 nt
Filed under: Camelus ferus (Wild Bactrian camel)
Lineage: Eukaryota; Metazoa; Chordata; Mammalia; Artiodactyla; Camelidae
Rfam family: tRNA
About the family: Transfer RNA (tRNA) molecules are approximately 80 nucleotides in length. Their secondary structure includes four short double-helical elements and three loops (D, anti-codon, and T loops).
Source: Rfam by way of RNAcentral
GAGGGUAUAGCUCAGUGGUAGAGUGCAUGCCUAGCAUGUAUGAUGAGGUCCUGGAUUCGAUUCCCAGUACCUCCA